UUAAUAAAAUCACUUUAAUCAAAUAUUUACAGAAUAGCAAUCCACUUGAUGAUAAUGAUACAUCAACAGAAUGCUCUGAGAUGAUAACUGAUACAAAAAGUUUAAGCGUAUUAGAGAUAAAAAUGAUUACUUAUUUGUUCUUUCUGUGUUGUAAUAAAUCAUUACAUUGAAAUAAUCAUUACUUAAUAAUCAAUAUAUUAUUAGAAAAUUUAUUUUUAGAACAAUAGUGAGAACAAAAAAGUUGAACAAAAAUCGUAUGCAUCACUCAUUCAGGGUACAACUGAUGAAUGUAUGAUAUUACAAGUAAAUGUGUUGUAGUGCAUCAAAUCUGAAAGACGAGAGUCAAAUGAUAAUGAUAAUAAAGAGAACAUAUUCACGCCUAAUAAUUGCAGCGUCAACUGUACUCAAAGUACAAAUUCAAAGGUUAAUGAUCACAUAAGCAUCGACAUUGGAGGAAUGCUCGUAGAUUUUACACGCUACAGCAGAUGCAGUAGAGAAAACUUCAGAAAGUUUACUAGCGACUUACUUGGCGCGGUAUUUUCAAGAGAAAUCUUGGCGACUUCCAGUUUAACUGGAAAAAUCUCGAAUAUUCAAAAGGCCGCUGAUCCAAAUUACAAAGGAAAAGCCAAAUUAGAUAAAGUUAGAAGCAAUAAAAGCUUAUGCAAUAUCAAUUUUUGGAUAUUUAAAUGAUGUGGAUAAAAUUUUCGAGAAAAUAGUCCGUGCCAAGUGCAACAAUGCUUCUCGUGAUAACAAGAACCAACUAAAAUAACUAAAAUAAUAAAAUUAAUAAGAUGUUUCUAAACAAAAUAUUCAGAAUAAUAAGAUGUUUUUAAAUAAA
Solenopsis invicta (red fire ant) is the source of this 838-nucleotide RNA transcript. RefSeq lists it as uncharacterized. The record is from RefSeq and is a predicted model, not a curated record. NCBI's taxonomy places the organism in Eukaryota, Metazoa, Arthropoda, Insecta, Hymenoptera, Formicidae. The transcript has 4 exons.